CAUUCGAGUGGCGGACGGGUGAGUAACGCGUGGGUAACCUGCCUUACACAGGGGGAUAACACCUGGAAACAGGCGCUAAUACCGCAUAAGCGCACGGGGCCGCAUGGCCCGGUGUGAAAAACUCCGGUGGUGUAAGAUGGACCCGCGUCUGAUUAGCUUGUUGGCGGGGUAGGGGCCCACCAAGGCGACGAUCAGUAGCCGGCCUGAGAGGGUGGACGGCCACAUUGGGACUGAGACACGGCCCAAACUCCUACGGGAGGCAGCAG
RNAcentral lists this ribosomal RNA (266 nucleotides) under uncultured bacterium. RNAcentral's name for it is "partial 16S ribosomal RNA". It matches the Rfam family "Bacterial small subunit ribosomal RNA", at positions 88 to 354 of the family's 1533-position model. The record is from RNAcentral.